CCUACGGGUGGCAGCAGUGGGGAAUAUUGCACAAUGGGCGAAACCCUGAUGCAGCGACGCCGCGUGAGUGAAGAAGUAAUUCGUUAUGUAAAGUUCUAUCAGCAGGGAAGAGAAUGAGGGUACCCGUGUCAGAAGCGCCGGCUAACUACGGGCCAGCAGCCGCGGUAAUACGUAGGGGGCAAGAGUUAUCCGGAUGUACGGGGGGUAAAGGGGGCGUAGACGGCGGGGCAAGAUUGAAGUGAAAGGCGGGGGCUCAACCCCCGGACUGCUUUGGAAACUGUACGUCUGGAGUGCAGGAGAGGUAAGUGGAAUUCCUAGUGUAGCGGUGAAAUGCGUAGAUAUUAGGAGGAACACCAGUGGCGAAGGCGGCUUGCUGGACUGUAACUGACGUUGAGGCGCGAAAGCGUGGGGAGCAAACAGGAUUAGAUACCCCGGUAGUC
This 440-nucleotide ribosomal RNA is filed under the name uncultured bacterium. RNAcentral describes it as "partial 16S ribosomal RNA". It matches the Rfam family "Bacterial small subunit ribosomal RNA", at positions 338 to 795 of the family's 1533-position model. The record is from RNAcentral.